This 440-nucleotide ribosomal RNA is filed under the name uncultured bacterium. RNAcentral's name for it is "partial 16S ribosomal RNA". It matches the Rfam family "Bacterial small subunit ribosomal RNA", at positions 338 to 795 of the family's 1533-position model. The record is from RNAcentral.
CCUACGGUGGGCAGCAGUGGGGAAUAUUGCACAAUGGGGGAAACCCUGAUGCAGCGACGCCGCGUGAGUGAAGAAGUAAUUCGUUAUGUAAAGCUCUAUCAGCAGGGAAGAAAAUGACGGUACCUGAGUAAGAAGCCCCGGCUAACUACGUGCCAGCAGCCGCGGUCAUACGUAGGGGGCAAGCUGUAUCCGGAUUCACGGGGUGGACAGGGAGCGUAGACGGCAGUGCAAGUCUGGAGUGGAAGGGGGGGGCUCAACCCCCGGACUGCCCGGGAAACUGUACGGCUGGAGUGCAGGAGAGGUAAGUGGAAGUCCUAGGGUAGCGGUGAAAUGCGUAGAUAUUAGGAGGAGCACCAGUGGCGAGGGCGGCUUACUGGACUGUAACUGACGUUGAGGCUCGAAAGCGUGGGGAGCAAACAGGAUUAGAUACCCCAGUAGUC